Molecule: ribosomal RNA, 660 nt
Filed under: Triticum aestivum (bread wheat)
Lineage: Eukaryota; Viridiplantae; Streptophyta; Magnoliopsida; Poales; Poaceae
Description: partial small subunit ribosomal RNA
Source: RNAcentral
AUGGCCCAGCGGCAGCAGCAGGACACCGUUAUUAGCCACUUCUCCCAUCCGUAUCCAGGGCACGAGCUCGUGAAGCGGCACUACACUGGGCCGUUCCGCUGCGACAUGUGCUGUGAAGACUUGUCCGGCGCAGGAUAUGGCUGCAGCGCAGGCUGUGACUUUGCCAUCCACGACUCUUGUGUAGGCUACUCGCAGACGUUCUCCUCCCCUCAGCAUGAAGCGCACCCACUCGUGCUCAUCCAGACCCGCCAAGACGCGGCCCUCUUGUGUGACGUCUGCCUGGGGCAUUGCGCUCCAGGAUCCUUCCUCUACCGUUGCCCACCAUGCGGGUUUGACAUGCACCCGACCUGUAGGCGGCUGCCCCAGGUUGUGCGCAGUGCGCGGCACACGUACCCGGCGCACGACCUCACACUGGUCGUCGCCGAUGGCUGCUGUGUCGCUUGCGACAAAGGCGUGGGGCGGGCAUCGUACUACCGUUGCACAACGUGCAAUGUGGACUUACACGUCUCGUGUGCAGCGACCACCAGCAACAACAUCAGCGCUCAUGAAGCUGAAAUAGCCCUUCAGGCUGAGAUUGUACGAUCAAGGAUCGCAGCACAGGGUAGACGCGCGGCGCUGGACCUGCUGAGCCCUUCUUGUAAGUUCCUCUUGCAUGCCUAG